UUUAAAGAUUAUUUAUUUAUUUGAGAUAGAGCAAGAGAGAGCGAGAGCGGGUGGGAGGGGCGGAGGGAGAGGGAGAAGCAGGCUCUCCACUGAGCAGGGAGCCCCAUGUGGGGCUCGAUCCCGGGACGCUGAGAUCAUGACCUGAGCCCAAGGCGACACUUAACUGAUGAGCCACCCAGACGCCCCUGUUUUGUUUUGUUUUAUUUUAAAGAUUUUUAUUUAUUUAUUUGAGAGAGAGAGAAUGAGAGAGAGAGAGAACACGAGAGGGGGGAGGGUCAGAGGGAGAAGCAGACUCCCCGCCGAGCAGGGAGCCCGACGUGGGACUCGAUCCCGGGACUCCAGGAUCAUGACCUGAGCCGAAGGCAGUCGCUUUAACCAACUGAGCCACCCAGGCGCCCCUUGUUUUGUUUUAUUUUAAAAGCUUUCAUGUUUUUUUACACAAUUCCUGUCCCACUGAGCACCCAGACUUGGGUGAGAGCCAACCAUAAAUCAAAUGCUGAGGGCAAUUUAGACAGUUCCCAGGCUAGGUGUGGUGGGGGUCGGGGAUGGAGGGGAGGAGAGCUCCGGGGUCGGGGGGGAUGGCAAAACGUGGAUUCUAUUCCAGCUGAGUGUGGUAACAACCGUGGGAGAACAGAAUUCCACUGGGGGAGGGGGUGCCAACCCAGCCUCGGAGGCAGGGAUGCUUCCAAACGGAAGAGGCGUCAUCUAGUUCCAGUAAAUGCAGUAUUACCUGAACUAGCUCUCAAUGUCUGAAACAAGAAAUUACGCACGUGUGGUCUCCAGCCCCUGCCAGGGGAACAGGAAGGUGGCCUCUCCUCUCACCAGGAGGUGCCCAGCCCUGGACAGCACCCAGCACUGCAGAUGAGGCUUCCACAGCCGGCCAGCAUUUCUGCCAGACCGGGGCAGAUCUUUAGCCCUAUGAAGAAAUACCUCCAAAAAGUCUUCUUAUGGGGAGAAGGGCAGAAAAGCUCUGGUUUAUGCAAGGUCCCAGGGUGGGAGGACCAAGCUCAGAAAGGAAGAACUCCAAACCAAGGCCAGGAGAUACACAUGCCAGGUCCAGCAGAUUCUCCCUCCCUCCCAGGCAGGAGCUGUCCUGGCCUCUCUCAAGAAUCUCAUAGAUAAGAAAUGCUCACUUUGAAGCACUGGCCACAAGCUCCUCCAGAUGGAAACAAGCCAAAUGUCCAUCAGUGGAUGAAUGGAUAAUCAAAACGUGGUACAUCCAUAUAGUAGAACAUUAUCGAGUCAUAAAACGGAAUGAAGUACUGUAUGGGAAUCUGUUGAUCUGAAAUAGAAUUCUUUUUGAUGUGAAAUAUCCACAGCAGGCAAAGUUGGAAAGCAGGACUGGUGUCCUUAUAAAAAGAUGGGAACACGGAGCUGCACGGGAGAAAGAAGGUCAUGUGACUCCAGAGGCAGAGCGACUGCAUUGCUCCAGCUAGGAGCUGAGGAAUGCCUGGGGCCACCAGAAGCUGACCGAGAACAAAUUCUAGAAGCAGCUGGAUGGAAGGAUACAUACGUUUCUGAGGCUGAGCGUAUACGCUGGAUAUACGGGCAUACCUCGUUUUGUUGCACCACAUUUCCUGACCUUCCCAGAUGUUGUGUUUCUGAUAAACUGACAGUCAGUGGCAACCCUGCAUCGAGCAAGUCUGUCAGUGUCAUUGUUCCAACAGCAUUUGCUCACUUUGCGUCUCUGCGUCACAUCUUGAUAAUUCUCACAACAUUUCAAACUUUUUCAGCAUUUUUACAUUUGUUUUGGCGGCCUGUGAUCUGUGAUUACGUGGCAUAUUUUUUAAUUAAGAUAUGGACCUUUUUUUUUAGGCAUGAUGCUAUUACACCCUUAAUAAACUAUGGUAUAAUGUAAAUAUAACUCCUACAUGCACUGGGAAACCAAAAAAAUUAAUUAGGCUUACUUUAUUACAAUAUUCAUGUUAUUGCAGUGGUCCGGAACCAAACCCACAAUAUCUCUGAGGUAUCCCUAUAUUUAUACAGCUGCUGUCCUGAAAGCCUCUACCAAUUUUUUCCCAAA
Mirounga angustirostris (Northern elephant seal) is the source of this 2023-nucleotide long non-coding RNA. RefSeq lists it as uncharacterized. The record is from RefSeq and is a predicted model, not a curated record. Lineage: Eukaryota; Metazoa; Chordata; Mammalia; Carnivora; Phocidae. The transcript has 6 exons.